GGGCCCCAGAGCCGCUCUGACGUCUCAACUCAGAAGAGCGGCACAGCCUUCUGGGAAAUGUAGCUUUGGAGCCAGAAACCACGGUCUCCGGGCCCGCUCAACUCAUCGCCCCCCGGCUUGUUGUCGAAAUAUUUUGGAUCACUCUGAGGGAUCCCAACACCACAUCCAAAGGACACUCCAGCAACCUGUGGAGAGAGGUUCACACGGUAAGAAACUGAGGCUUGCCAACAGUCUGCAACAAUUUGCCACCCACAAGAGAGAUCGAGCACUUCAGCGCUCGGUGACGCCUUGACUGCAAUCUUAUGAGAGACCUCUAGCUAGAACAACACAGAUUACUCAGACAUGUUGUACAAUAAUAAAAGUUUAUUGUUGCUUUAAGUCACUAA
Long non-coding RNA from Pteropus alecto (black flying fox), 386 nucleotides. RefSeq lists it as uncharacterized. The transcript is spliced from 2 exons. NCBI's taxonomy places the organism in Eukaryota, Metazoa, Chordata, Mammalia, Chiroptera, Pteropodidae. The record is from RefSeq and is a predicted model, not a curated record.